AGUGAACGCUGGCGGCAGGCCUAAUACAUGCAAGUCGAACGGCAGCACAGCAGAGCUUGCUCUGUGGGUGGCGAGUGGCGGGACGGGUGAGGAAUACAUGGGAAUCUGCCCAGUCGUGGGGGAUAACGUAGGGAAACUUACGCUAAUACCGCAUGCGCCCUUCGGGGAAAGGCCGGGGACCGGUAAAGGCCUGGCGCGAUUGGAUGAGCCCAUGUCGGAUUAGCUAGUUGGCGGGGUAAAGGGCCCACCAAGGCGACGAUCCGUAGCUGGUCUGAGAGGAUGAUCAGCCACACUGGAACUGAGACACGGUCCAGACUCCUACGGGAGGCAGCAGUAGGGAAUAUUGGACAAUAGGGCGGCAAGCCUGAUCCA
Molecule: ribosomal RNA, 372 nt
Filed under: uncultured bacterium
Lineage: Bacteria
Description: bacterial SSU rRNA
Rfam family: Bacterial small subunit ribosomal RNA
Source: RNAcentral